Long non-coding RNA from Diachasmimorpha longicaudata, 824 nucleotides. RefSeq lists it as uncharacterized. Lineage: Eukaryota; Metazoa; Arthropoda; Insecta; Hymenoptera; Braconidae. The record is from RefSeq and is a predicted model, not a curated record. The transcript is spliced from 3 exons.
UUGAACGGUCAAUAACUCCAUAGCAGGUGGAAAAUUCCGCGAACACGCGAUGUCUAUUUUCUAAUGUAAUAGAAUUUUUCUUGAUCUGGGUAUCUAGUUUACAAAGCGAUCGAAAGUUGUAGAAAUUAAUGUUCCUUUUAACUGAUAAUGCCAAUUAACCAUCAAUUGCCCGAUUAAUGAGAGGAAUAUUAAUUUCUGUCAUAGUUCAAUGAAAUCGAUACGAAAGUGAUAGCUGAGGAAGUAGUUUUUAUCGAUCAAGUUGGGAAUAGACAGGCCUCGACCCAAUUGCACCUAUCGCAUGUAUUAUCGGCUAAAGGGUAGUCGUCAACUAGUCGUCACUCUAUCCUAGAAAUUCCUGGUAGUGAUUAUUGAGGAAAUUUCUAAUCAUUUCGGAGAUACCGUACUACUCAAAAAAACAAAAGAAAAUAUCAACUCCUUGUUCCUUGCUGAUUGUGCCAGGUCAAUCUGAUUCUAGCGCAAUCAGGAAUAGCAACAAAAACAAUCAAGUUUUUUACAUAAUAAGUAAUUAACAAUUAACAGUUCAAGAGGACUGCGAUUAUUUCGUGGGGAGGGGAUUCUUCACUCUUGCCAAGCACUCAACACUCACUGAGUUACAUCUGGUUGAAGAACGAAGGCCUGUUAACGCGGUCUCCCUUCUACCGUUUCUCGUUGCCGUUUAGCUCCAUGAUAGCGGGGGGAGGAAGCAAGACCUAUUAAUUGGAUGAAGAACUUGGAGAUAAUAUUGUAUCCCAGUUCGAGUUAAAUUAUUGAAUUGUUGAUUUAAAAAUAAAUUAAUUUAAUUGUAGUUCAAGUCUGGAUACUGC